CGUUGCUCGAGUUCGGUGUCCCUUCGCCGCGUGCUCGAAGCGGAGCCCGUUUUGAAUCGUACCCAGUUGUGUCAUGAUUCCACUACAGCCAGAUCUCGACACUGCAUUAAUGACUUCAGAGUGGAUUAUCUCGCAUUGGCAUGUAACAAAUGAUUGUCCAGGCCAUCCAAAUGGGCAAAUGGUUGAUGUUGCAGAGACUUGUUAAAAAAGGGCAAGAUUUAAUUUCAUGUAAAUGGAUUACACCUGGAAAUGGUAUUUCUGAUGCAUAGGUAAAUCCGAAGAGAGCACUUCCUUAUGUUUGCCCCCCUACAGCUCUCCUUCCUCGUGGCCUCAGGGGCAGGGUGGAAAAGGCUCUGCUUUCUCAUUCUGCUUUGGAUGUGGCAUUGGCUGCUACAGCCAUGUCCUUGCAAACAUACGCUGCUUCAAACAAGAAAAAUCUAUUACGUAAAAGAGGGUUGACUGGGGUCCUCAGGAGGAUGGCUUAGUUUAAGUGGUACUCUGAAAACAGAGUUCUCUUUGCAGAACUUCUGCAUGACAAAUUGCCUUCAGUCGGAUGUUCACUGUUGCAUGGUCUGCUGUACUCUAGACUGAACUUCAUUUUCGCAAAUGGCCUGUUACUGUUACAGAAAUAUUUUGUGAACUGAGUGCAGCAACACAUAGCAAGGCCCCAGUUCCACAGCAGUACACAGUUAGACAUAACUUUGUAUAUGCUAGUAGUUUAUGGUCUUUCUUAUUUGUCUAUGGGAGGUAUAGAUUCACUUGAGGGGAGAAGAGUGUCCCCUGCAUUAUCC
RNAcentral lists this long non-coding RNA (791 nucleotides) under Gallus gallus (chicken). RNAcentral's name for it is "long non-coding RNA NONGGAT011781". Lineage: Eukaryota; Metazoa; Chordata; Aves; Galliformes; Phasianidae. The record is from RNAcentral.